Cyanistes caeruleus (blue tit) is the source of this 297-nucleotide non-coding RNA. NCBI's taxonomy places the organism in Eukaryota, Metazoa, Chordata, Aves, Passeriformes, Paridae. The record is from RefSeq and is a predicted model, not a curated record.
AAAUCACUGCUGCUGCAAUAGAGUCAGCUGGAAGGAUUUUGUGCUUCAGGUGCGUCUGCACAGCAUCCUGCCGCUUAGCUGAAGUGGCAUGGAGAGAUGGCUUAAAGACAGAUGACAGACUAUGCACCCUACAGCUAAGGCAUGGAUUUCAUUAUUCUAAACUUCCUUCUGAAUGUCUUACAUUAACCUUCUCCUCUACUCUCUGCUACUCCAAAGAUUUGGCAAUUAUGCCAUCCCUUUCUUUGCCUGCCAAAAUGUAACAACAAAAGUAAAAAUCGAGGAACUGAAAAAGAGAGG